CAGGCCCUCAACAGAGUUGCAUGGGUAUUGGAAACUGAGGGUCACUGAGAGCAAUGACUGAGGGUCGUGUGCUCAGCACUAGAGCAGACUUCACAGCCCAGGCCCGCUGUGCUGGGGUCCCCCACACACCUGCCCACGCCUGCUGCCCUCCUGUGGCUGGGAGCGCACCCUUCCCUCCUGUACUCUGCAGCCCCACGGUUCAGUCCCUUGCAUUGGAUUGGGCGGGAGGCUCCUCCCUAUCACCUCUCCACCCGGCUGCCCUUGUCAUUCUCUGCGUUAAACAUCCCUCCCCCAUCUCACAGGACAAGGGCUUGCGCCUCUGCCUGCCUGGCCUCCUCGCCUCCCCUGGCACAUUUCCUCAGGGAUGGGUCUGGACAGCUGUGGGAGGAGCCACCCGCUCAGGGCACUCUACCUCCCACUCCAGGCCAACGCCACAGGGGGCGGUGGGCACGUGCAGAUGGUGCAGAGGGCCAUGAAGGACCUGACCUACACCUCCCUGUGCUUUCCCGAGGCCAUCAAGGCCCGGGGCAUGGAGAGCAAAGAAGACAUCCCCUACUACUUCUACCGGGACGACGGGCUCCUGGUGUGGGAAGCCAUCAGGACGUUCACGGCCGAGGUGGUAGACAUCUACUACG
Molecule: small RNA, 635 nt
Filed under: Pan troglodytes (chimpanzee)
Lineage: Eukaryota; Metazoa; Chordata; Mammalia; Primates; Hominidae
Description: processed transcript
Source: RNAcentral